AAAGCCCUUUCUAAUACAGAGGGCUCAUGACGGUACCGUAAGAAUAAGCACCGGCUAACUGUGCCAGCAGCCGCAGUAAUACGUAGGGUGCAAGCGUUAAUCGGAAUUACUGGGCGUAGCGUGCGCAGGCGGUUAUGUAAGACAGAUGUGAAAUCCCCGGGCUCAACCUGGGAACUAUUAGUGACUGCAUAGCUGGAGUACGGCAGAGGGGGAUGGAAUUCCGCGUGUAGCAGUAAUGCGUAGAUAUGCGGAGGAACACCGAUGGCGAAGGCAAUCCCCUGGGCCUGUACUGGCUCAUGCACGAAAGCGUGGGGAGCAAACAGGAUUAGAUACCCUGGUAGUCCACGCCCAACGAUGUCAACUGGUUGUUGGGUCUUCACUGACUCAGUAACGAAGCUAACGCGUGAA
Molecule: ribosomal RNA, 408 nt
Filed under: uncultured bacterium
Lineage: Bacteria
Description: bacterial SSU rRNA
Rfam family: Bacterial small subunit ribosomal RNA
Source: RNAcentral